Molecule: ribosomal RNA, 369 nt
Filed under: uncultured bacterium
Lineage: Bacteria
Description: partial 16S ribosomal RNA
Rfam family: Bacterial small subunit ribosomal RNA
Source: RNAcentral
CCUACGGGUGGCAGCAGUAGGGAAUAUUGCACAAUGGGGGAAACCCUGAAGCAGCAACGCCGCGUGGAGGAUGACGGUUUUCGGAUUGUAAACUCCUGUUGUCAGGGAAGAUAAUGACGGUAUCUAACGAAUAAGCACCGGCUAACUACGUGCCAGCAGCCGCGGUAAUACGGAGGGUGCAAGCGUUACCCGGAUUUACUGGGCGUAAAGGGCGCGUAGGCGGGAUUGUAAGUGAGAUGUGAAAUACUAUGGCUUAACCAUAGGACUGCAUUUGAAACUGUAAUUCUAGAGUAUGGGAGAGGUGAAUGGAAUUCUUAGUGUAGGGGUAAAAUGCGUAGAGAUCAGGAGGAACACUCGUUGCGAAGGCGA